Podarcis lilfordi (Lilford's wall lizard) is the source of this 69-nucleotide non-coding RNA. NCBI's taxonomy places the organism in Eukaryota, Metazoa, Chordata, Lepidosauria, Squamata, Lacertidae. The record is from the annotation of a GenBank genome assembly.
AGGGCUGUAGCUCAGUGGUAGAGCAUUUGCUUAGCAUGCAGAAGGUCUCAGGUUCAAUCCCCAGUCGUA